UACGUAGGGUGCAAGCGUUGUCCGGAAUUAUUGGGCGUAAAGAGCUCGUAGGUGGCCUGUCGCGUCGGCUGUGAAAACUCGGGGCUCAACUCCGAGCUUGCAGUCGAUACGGGCAGGCUAGAGUUCGGCAGGGGAUACUGGAAUUCCUGGUGUAGCGGUGAAAUGCGCAGAUAUCGCUUGGAACGCCGAAGGUGAAAACAGGCUGCUGGGGUUGCGCCGACGCUGAGACACGAAAGCCAGGGGAGCAAACGGG
Molecule: ribosomal RNA, 253 nt
Filed under: uncultured bacterium
Lineage: Bacteria
Description: partial 16S ribosomal RNA
Rfam family: Bacterial small subunit ribosomal RNA
Source: RNAcentral